Molecule: non-coding RNA, 30 nt
Filed under: Homo sapiens (human)
Lineage: Eukaryota; Metazoa; Chordata; Mammalia; Primates; Hominidae
Source: RNAcentral
UGCUUACAAGGGGCACGAGCGUCUCGGAGC